GCGCCCGUAGCUCAAUUGGAUAGAGCGUCUGACUACGGAUCAGAAGGUUGGGGGUUCGAGUCCCUCCGGGCGUG
Molecule: transfer RNA, 74 nt
Filed under: Acidimicrobiia bacterium
Lineage: Bacteria; Bacillati; Actinomycetota; Acidimicrobiia
Also listed under: 2 other names
Description: tRNA-Arg
Rfam family: tRNA
About the family: Transfer RNA (tRNA) molecules are approximately 80 nucleotides in length. Their secondary structure includes four short double-helical elements and three loops (D, anti-codon, and T loops).
Source: RNAcentral